RNAcentral lists this ribosomal RNA (807 nucleotides) under Bacillus sp. (in: firmicutes). Its description in RNAcentral is "bacterial SSU rRNA". It matches the Rfam family "Bacterial small subunit ribosomal RNA", at positions 69 to 859 of the family's 1533-position model. Lineage: Bacteria; Bacillati; Bacillota; Bacilli; Caryophanales; Bacillaceae. The record is from RNAcentral.
CAGAUGGGAGCUUGCUCCCUGAUGUUAGCGGCGGACGGGUGAGUAACACGUGGGUAACCUGCCUGUAAGACUGGGAUAACUCCGGGAAACCGGGGCUAAUACCGGAUGCUUGUUUGAACCGCAUGGUUCAUACAUAAAAGGUGGCUUCGGCUACCACUUACAGAUGGACCCGCGGCGCAUUAGCUAGUUGGUGAGGUAACGGCUCACCAAGGCGACGAUGCGUAGCCGACCUGAGAGGGUGAUCGGCCACACUGGGACUGAGACACGGCCCAGACUCCUACGGGAGGCAGCAGUAGGGAAUCUUCCGCAAUGGACGAAAGUCUGACGGAGCAACGCCGCGUGAGUGAUGAAGGUUUUCGGAUCGUAAAGCUCUGUUGUUAGGGAAGAACAAGUGCCGUUCAAAUAGGGCGGCACCUUGACGGUACCUAACCAGAAAGCCACGGCUAACUACGUGCCAGCAGCCGCGGUAAUACGUAGGUGGCAAGCGUUGUCCGGAAUUAUUGGGCGUAAAGGGCUCGCAGGCGGUUUCUUAAGUCUGAUGUGAAAGCCCCCGGCUCAACCGGGGAGGGUCAUUGGAAACUGGGGAACUUGAGUGCAGAAGAGGAGAGUGGAAUUCCACGUGUAGCGGUGAAAUGCGUAGAGAUGUGGAGGAACACCAGUGGCGAAGGCGACUCUCUGGUCUGUAACUGACGCUGAGGAGCGAAAGCGUGGGGAGCGAACAGGAUUAGAUACCCUGGUAGUCCACGCCGUAAACGAUGAGUGCUAAGUGUUAGGGGGUUUCCGCCCCUUAGUGCUGCAGCUAACGCA